Molecule: ribosomal RNA, 253 nt
Filed under: uncultured bacterium
Lineage: Bacteria
Description: partial 16S ribosomal RNA
Rfam family: Bacterial small subunit ribosomal RNA
Source: RNAcentral
UACGAAGGGGGCGAGCGUUGUUCGGAUUUACUGGGCGUAAAGGGCGCGUAGGCGGCCCUCCUUGUCGCGUGUGAAAGCCCCGGGCUCAACCUGGGAAUUGCGCGCGAAACGGGGGGGCUUGAGUUCGGGAGAGGAGCGUGGAAUUCCCAGUGUAGAGGUGAAAUUCGUAGAUAUUGGGAAGAACACCGGUGGCGAAGGCGGCGCUCUGGACCGAGACUGACGCUGAGGCGCGAAAGCGUGGGGAGCGAACAGG